AUGAUGGAAAGAAACCUCAAGGUUGGCACGUCCUCCUCUGCUCUUUUGGAGGAUGGUGGUAAGAUUGUCGAGAAGGUAUUGCCUCUCAUGGGCUCGGGCUCUGGUAUAAGGCCGGGCAUUGCCCCGAACAUCAAAUUCGGAGGGUCCGGAUCAUACCCUGAUCUUCCCUGGGUAUCCACAACCGGGACUGGACCAAAUGGCAGGACCAUAUUGGGCGUAACAUACAACUUCGGCAGAAACAAAGUGAAGAUCAUGUGUGCUUGCCAUGGCACACACAUAACGCCUGAGGAGUUCACGCGACACGCUAGCGUGGAUGCCACGGGCCAGGAGAACAACGCUACAAUGUCGGUGUUUCCUGUCGGGAAUCAAGCAGCCUCAGCCCAAAACUAA
RNAcentral lists this ribosomal RNA (390 nucleotides) under Triticum aestivum (bread wheat). Its description in RNAcentral is "partial small subunit ribosomal RNA". The record is from RNAcentral. Lineage: Eukaryota; Viridiplantae; Streptophyta; Magnoliopsida; Poales; Poaceae.